GAUGAACGCUGGCGGCGUGCUUAACACAUGCAAGUCGAACGAAGCACCUUGAUUCGAUUCUUCGGAUGAAGAUCUUGGUGACUGAGUGGCGGACGGGUGAGUAACGCGUGGGUAACCUGCCUCAUACAGGGGGAUAACAGUUAGAAAUGACUGCUAAUACCGCAUAAGACCACAGCACCGCAUGGUGCAGGGGUAAAAACUCCGGUGGUAUGAGAUGGACCCGCGUCUGAUUAGGUAGUUGGUGGGGUAACGGCCUACCAAGCCGACGAUCAGUAGCCGAUCUGAGAGGGUGACCGGCCACAUUGGGACUGAGACACGGCCCAAACUCCUACGGGAGGCAGCAGUGGGGAAUAUUGCACAAUGGGGGAAACCCUGAUGCAGCGACGCCGCGUGAGCGAUGAAGUAUUUCGGUAUGUAAAGCUCUAUCAGCAGGGAAGAAAAUGACGGUACCUGACUAAGAAGCACCGGCUAAAUACGUG
This 479-nucleotide ribosomal RNA is filed under the name uncultured bacterium. RNAcentral describes it as "partial 16S ribosomal RNA". It matches the Rfam family "Bacterial small subunit ribosomal RNA", at positions 28 to 507 of the family's 1533-position model. The record is from RNAcentral.